This 109-nucleotide non-coding RNA is filed under the name Alphaproteobacteria bacterium. RNAcentral describes it as "TPP sequence". It matches the Rfam family "TPP riboswitch aptamer (THI element)". From Rfam's summary of the family: Vitamin B(1) in its active form thiamin pyrophosphate (TPP) is an essential coenzyme that is synthesised by coupling of pyrimidine and thiazole moieties in bacteria. The record is from RNAcentral. Lineage: Bacteria; Pseudomonadati; Pseudomonadota; Alphaproteobacteria.
GAGCCAUCCGAGGGGCGCGGGCCUCACCCGCUGAGACUGUGUUGAUCACACGGGCACCCUUUGAACCUGAUCGGUUAACACCGGCGUAGGGACGGAACCUUGCUCUCGA